Molecule: ribosomal RNA, 247 nt
Filed under: uncultured bacterium
Lineage: Bacteria
Description: partial 16S ribosomal RNA
Rfam family: Bacterial small subunit ribosomal RNA
Source: RNAcentral
GAUCAUGCUCAGGAUGAACGCUAGCUACAGGCUUAACACAUGCAAGUCGAGGGGCAGCAUUUUUCUAGCAAUAGAAGAGAUGGCGACCGGCGCACGGGUGAGUAACACGUAUCCAACCUACCGAUAACUCCGGAAUAGCCUUUCGAAAGAAAGAUUAAUACCGGAUAGUAUACGAAUAUCGCAUGAUAUUUUUAUUAAAGAAUUUCGGUUAUCGAUGGGGAUGCGUUCCAUUAGUUUGUUGGCGGGG